Molecule: ribosomal RNA, 927 nt
Filed under: Salmonella enterica subsp. enterica serovar Anatum
Lineage: Bacteria; Pseudomonadati; Pseudomonadota; Gammaproteobacteria; Enterobacterales; Enterobacteriaceae
Description: bacterial LSU rRNA
Rfam family: Bacterial large subunit ribosomal RNA
Source: RNAcentral
GAAGGUGGCCUGUGAGGGUUGCUGGAGGUAUCAGAAGUGCGAAUGCUGACAUAAGUAACGAUAAAGCGGGUGAAAAGCCCGCUCGCCGGAAGACCAAGGGUUCCUGUCCAACGUUAAUCGGGGCAGGGUGAGUCGACCCCUAAGGCGAGGCCGAAAGGCGUAGUCGAUGGGAAACGGGUUAAUAUUCCCGUACUUGGUGUUACUGCGAAGGGGGGACGGAGAAGGCUAUGUUGGCCGGGCGACGGUUGUCCCGGUUUAAGCGUGUAGGCUGGUUUUCCAGGCAAAUCCGGUUCACUUUAAAACUGAGGCGUGACGACGAGGCACUACGGUGCUGAAGCAACAAAUGCCCUGCUUCCAGGAAAAGCCUCUAAGCAUCAGGUAACAUCAAAUCGUACCCCAAACCGACACAGGUGGUCAGGUAGAGAAUACCAAGGCGCUUGAGAGAACUCGGGUGAAGGAACUAGGCAAAAUGGUGCCGUAACUUCGGGAGAAGGCACGCUGACAUGUAGGUGAAGUGAUUUACUCAUGGAGCUGAAGUCAGUCGAAGAUACCAGCUGGCUGCAACUGUUUAUUAAAAACACAGCACUGUGCAAACACGAAAGUGGACGUAUACGGUGUGACGCCUGCCCGGUGCCGGAAGGUUAAUUGAUGGGGUCAGCGCAAGCGAAGCUCCUGAUCGAAGCCCCGGUAAACGGCGGCCGUAACUAUAACGGUCCUAAGGUAGCGAAAUUCCUUGUCGGGUAAGUUCCGACCUGCACGAAUGGCGUAAUGAUGGCCAGGCUGUCUCCACCCGAGACUCAGUGAAAUUGAACUCGCUGUGAAGAUGCAGUGUACCCGCGGCAAGACGGAAAGACCCCGUGAACCUUUACUAUAGCUUGACACUGAACAUUGAGCCUUGAUGUGUAGGAUAGGUGGGAGGCUUUGAAG